Molecule: unclassified non-coding RNA, 705 nt
Filed under: Hevea brasiliensis (rubber tree)
Lineage: Eukaryota; Viridiplantae; Streptophyta; Magnoliopsida; Malpighiales; Euphorbiaceae
Source: RNAcentral
AAUGUUCUGAACAAUUUCUUGAGGCAAGAAUUGGCAGGGACUCCCUUUUGGCUGUCAUUCCAGAUCCAGUGACAUGUUUUUCAACUGCAAGAUACUCUCAAAAGCAAGUCUUUAGAGUGCUUUCAGACUCAAAUUUAGUAAUUGUUGAUUGGAUUACCAGUGGACGUCAUGAAAGUGGAGAAAAAUGGGAUUUUGAUCUUUAUAAGAGCACCAACAACAUUUUCUUGGAUCAUGAUCAGCCUUUGUUCCUUGAUACCGUAUUGCUAGAGCAAGGAAACAUUGCUGCUAUCACAGAACGCAUGCGUGACUACCAAGUUAUUGCAAUGGUUAUAAUCUUGGGGCCAAAGCUGAAGCACAUUCAAACUCAAGUUCAAGAACAUGUGAAAAUGAUAAUGUCUGAGCAAUUGCACGUGCCUUUUGUUGGCUUACGUGGCCAUAUAAAAUCAAAUUCUAGUAUUUGCUUCACCAAACCACCAUUUAUUGCAUCUUGCAGCUUAUUUGGUCCUAAGGGAAUGGGCAUUGUUGUUAGAAUUGCUGCCAUGACCACUGAAUCAGUGUACAAGUUCUUACGGCAGCAGCUGGCUAGUAUGGAGCUCCUAAUUGGGGUUUUACCAUAUCGAUGAUCAAGCCUGUUGAUCGUUUUCUGUCACAGUUUACAGGGAUGUUCCAUAACUCAGUGGACCUUUGAAUGAUAGUGUUAGUGAA